GAGCCAUUAGCUCAGUCGGUAGAGCACCUGACUUUUAAUCAGGGUGUCCCGCGUUCGAGCCGCGGAUGGCUCACCA
RNAcentral lists this transfer RNA (76 nucleotides) under Dehalobacter sp. MCB1. Its description in RNAcentral is "tRNA-Lys". It matches the Rfam family "tRNA". From Rfam's summary of the family: Transfer RNA (tRNA) molecules are approximately 80 nucleotides in length. Their secondary structure includes four short double-helical elements and three loops (D, anti-codon, and T loops). Further hydrogen bonds mediate the characteristic L-shaped molecular structure. tRNAs have two regions of fundamental functional importance: the anti-codon, which is responsible for specific mRNA codon recognition, and the 3' end, to which the tRNAs corresponding amino acid is attached (by aminoacyl-tRNA synthetases). tRNAs cope with the degeneracy of the genetic code in two manners: having more than one tRNA (with a specific anti-codon) for a particular amino acid; and 'wobble' base-pairing, i.e. permitting non-standard base-pairing at the 3rd anti-codon position. Lineage: Bacteria; Bacillati; Bacillota; Clostridia; Eubacteriales; Desulfitobacteriaceae. RNAcentral also lists the same sequence under 2 other names. The record is from RNAcentral.